Molecule: ribosomal RNA, 477 nt
Filed under: Triticum aestivum (bread wheat)
Lineage: Eukaryota; Viridiplantae; Streptophyta; Magnoliopsida; Poales; Poaceae
Description: partial small subunit ribosomal RNA
Source: RNAcentral
AUGAAGGUCGUACGUGACAUAGAAGAUGGCGAGCUACAUCUUGCAUCUACAAACGAGGGCGACCUAAGCUCGUGUUCGACACUGCAGUUCUUGGUUGGUGUGUCAGAUAGCAACCCGGGCAGCGGUGUGAGGCGGCAACGGCUGGACGCGAUAGUAACCCUAGCUGUGGCUGCGCUAGCUUUUAACGAGAAAGGAAGAAGAAAUCAGAUCGGGGCUAGCAAGCCGAUGAGGCAGGGAAGAGAGCUGGCGGGUCCACUCGUCGGCGAGGUCUGGUCUUGGUACUAUGUUGAUAGCGAGGGUGCAAGGCUCAAGGGAAGCAUCCGGUUCUGUAGUUCUUUGUAUGCUAAUGGUAUCUUGGAUGAGGGUUACAAAUUCAACAUGUCAGUUGAGGAAGCUGCUGAGUUAGCAUGGCGGGCUUUUAUCACACAAUAUUCUGUGACAGAGCUAGUGGUGGUUGUGUUCCUGGUGAUUUGUUAA